RNAcentral lists this ribosomal RNA (250 nucleotides) under uncultured bacterium. RNAcentral's name for it is "partial 16S ribosomal RNA". It matches the Rfam family "Bacterial small subunit ribosomal RNA", at positions 524 to 773 of the family's 1533-position model. The record is from RNAcentral.
UACGUAGGUGGCGAGCGUUAUCCGGAUUUAUUGGGCGUAAAGCGAGCGCAGGCGGUUUCUUAAGUCUGAUGUGAAAGCCCCCGGCUCAACCGGGGAAGUGCAUCGGAAACUGGGAAACUUGAGUGCAGAAGAGGACAGUGGAACUCCAUGUGUAGCGGUGAAAUGCGUAGAUAUAUGGAAGAACACCAGUGGCGAAGGCGGCUCUCUGGACUGUAACUGACGCUGAGGCUCGAAAGUGUGGGUAGCAAAC